This 492-nucleotide ribosomal RNA is filed under the name uncultured bacterium. RNAcentral's name for it is "partial 16S ribosomal RNA". It matches the Rfam family "Bacterial small subunit ribosomal RNA", at positions 29 to 507 of the family's 1533-position model. The record is from RNAcentral.
AGUGAACGCUGGCGGUAGGCCUAACACAUGCAAGUCGAACGGCAGCACAGUAAGAGCUUGCUCUUACGGGUGGCGAGUGGCGGACGGGUGAUGAGUACAUCGGAAUCUACUUUUUCGUGGGGGAUAACGUAGGGAAACUUACGCCAAUACCGCAUACGACCUACGGGUGAAAGCAUGGGAUCUUCGGACCUUGCGCGAUUGAAUGAGCCGAUGUCGGAUUAGCUAGUUGGCGGGGUAAAGGCCCACCAAGGCGACGAUCCGUAGCUGGUCUGAGAGGAUGAUCAGCCACACUGGAACUGAGACACGGUCCAGACUCCUACGGGAGGCAGCAGUGGGGAAUAUUGGACAAUGGGCGCAAGCCUGAUCCAGCCAUACUGCGUGGGUGAAGAAGGCCUUCGGGUUGUAAAGCCCUUUUGGUGGGAAAGAAAAGCAGCAGGUUAAUACCCCGCUGUUCUGACGGUACCCAAAGAAUAAGCACCGGCUAACUUCGUG